Molecule: non-coding RNA, 72 nt
Organism: Caerostris darwini
Lineage: Eukaryota; Metazoa; Arthropoda; Arachnida; Araneae; Araneidae
Source: the annotation of a GenBank genome assembly
CACCUAAGUUAAGCAACAUUGGGCGCGGUCAGUACUUGGGUGGGUGACCACCUGGGAACACUGCGUGCCGUU